Molecule: long non-coding RNA, 177 nt
Organism: Centruroides sculpturatus (bark scorpion)
Lineage: Eukaryota; Metazoa; Arthropoda; Arachnida; Scorpiones; Buthidae
Exons: 2
Source: RefSeq, a predicted model, not a curated record
UAAAAGUAAAACUCUAGUGACUAAUAAAGCAAAAGAAAAAUCUUUGAAAGAAGCAGAAAAACCAUCAUAUUCCUUUCCUGCUGCCAAAUCUACUAUCCAAACUUAUAAUCAUAAACCAUGGAUUAUAUCAGAUUAUGAACCUGGUUACUCUUCUAUAGCCAAUAAUGAAAAUUCAUA